GCCAGCAGCCACAUCAGUCUGCAACUCACAACUGGCAGCCCACUGAAGCUCAGCAGGUGUGAGCCUGGCCAGUACCUGGAUGGGAGACCUCCUGGGAAAAACUAAGGUUGCUGCUGGAA
RNAcentral lists this ribosomal RNA (119 nucleotides) under Lepisosteus oculatus (spotted gar). Lineage: Eukaryota; Metazoa; Chordata; Actinopteri; Semionotiformes; Lepisosteidae. The record is from RNAcentral.